RNAcentral lists this ribosomal RNA (172 nucleotides) under Boana pardalis (leopard treefrog). Its description in RNAcentral is "partial 16S ribosomal RNA". Lineage: Eukaryota; Metazoa; Chordata; Amphibia; Anura; Hylidae. The record is from RNAcentral.
ACGUGAUCUGAGUUCAGACCGGAGUAAUCCAGGUCAGUUUCUAUCUAUAAAGGGCUUUUUCUAGUACGAAAGGACCGAAAAAGCAUGGCCAAUGACCUAUUAAGCCAUUUUAGUAAUUUAUGUCACCAACUCAAUUAAUACAAAACCUAACACCUUCCUCAAGAAAAGAGAA